CCAAUAGCGUAUAUUAAAGUUGUUGCAGUUAAAAAGCUCGUAGUUGAAUUUCGGGGUUUAUCCGUUGGUCGGGCUUUUGGGUCUGUACUGGCGUGAUGGAUUCCUACCUUCUGAAUAACCAGCAUGCCAUUAAUUUGGUGCGUUGGGGAAGCAGGACUGUUACCUUGAAAAAAUUAGAGUGCUUAAAGCAGGCUAUUGCCUGAAUACAUUAGCAUGGAAUAAUGAAAUAGGACGCAUGGUUCUAUUUUGUUGGUUUCUAGGAUCACCGUAAUGAUUAAUAGGGAUAGUUGGGGGCAUUAGUAUUCAAUUGUCAGAGGUGAAAUUCUUGGAUUUAUUGAAGACUAACUUCUGCGAAAGCAUUUGCCAAGGAUGUUUUCAUUAAUCAAGAACGAAAGUUAAGGGAUCGAAGACGAUCAGAUACCGUCGUAGUCUUAACCAUAAACUAUGCCGACUAGGGAUCGGACGAUGUUAAUUUUUUAAUGACUCGUUCGGCGCCUUACG
This 501-nucleotide ribosomal RNA is filed under the name uncultured Glomeromycotina. Its description in RNAcentral is "partial small subunit ribosomal RNA". It matches the Rfam family "Eukaryotic small subunit ribosomal RNA", at positions 591 to 1092 of the family's 1831-position model. Lineage: Eukaryota; Fungi; Glomeromycota. The record is from RNAcentral.